Oncorhynchus tshawytscha (Chinook salmon) is the source of this 170-nucleotide long non-coding RNA. RefSeq lists it as uncharacterized. NCBI's taxonomy places the organism in Eukaryota, Metazoa, Chordata, Actinopteri, Salmoniformes, Salmonidae. The record is from RefSeq and is a predicted model, not a curated record. The transcript is spliced from 2 exons.
UUAAGUAAAGGAGUGAUAUGAGCAGAAAGGUCUGUGUUGACAUGUUAAGUAAAGGAGUGAUAUGAGCAGAAAGGUGUUGACAUGUUAAGUAAAGGAGUGAUAUGAGCAGAAAGGUGUUGACAUGUUAAGUAAAGGAGUGAUAUGAGCAGAAAGGUGUUGACAUGUUAAGU